RNAcentral lists this ribosomal RNA (508 nucleotides) under uncultured bacterium. RNAcentral's name for it is "partial 16S ribosomal RNA". It matches the Rfam family "Bacterial small subunit ribosomal RNA", at positions 28 to 507 of the family's 1533-position model. The record is from RNAcentral.
GACGAACGCUGGCGGCGUGCCUAAUACAUGCAAGUCGAGCGCAGGAAGUCAUCCGAACCCUUCGGGGGGACGUUGACGGAAUGAGCGGCGGACGGGUGAGUAACACGUAAAGAACCUGCCCUCAGGUCUGGGAUAACCACGAGAGAUCGGGGCUAAUACCGGAUGGGUCAUCGGACCGCAUGGUCCGAGGAUGAAAGGCGCUCCGGCGUCGCCUGGGGAUGGCUUUGCGGUGCAUUAGCUAGUUGGGGAGGUAAUGGCCCACCAAGGCGACGAUGCAUAGCCGACCUGAGAGGGUGAUCGGCCACACUGGGACUGAGACACGGCCCAGACUCCUACGGGAGGCAGCAGUAGGGAAUCUUCCACAAUGGACGAAAGUCUGAUGGGGCAACGCCGCGUGAACGAUGAAGGCCCUCGGGUCGUAAAGUUCUGUUGUAAGGGAAGAACAAGUGCCGCAGGCAAUGGCGGCACCUUGACGGUACCUUGCGAGAAAGCCACGGCUAACUACGUG